UCUCUGGUGGUCCAGUGGUUAAGACACUAUGCUUUCACUGCUGAGGGCCCAGGUUCAAUCCCUGGUCAGGGAA
This 73-nucleotide transfer RNA is filed under the name Bos taurus (domestic cattle). It matches the Rfam family "tRNA". From Rfam's summary of the family: Transfer RNA (tRNA) molecules are approximately 80 nucleotides in length. Their secondary structure includes four short double-helical elements and three loops (D, anti-codon, and T loops). The record is from Rfam by way of RNAcentral. Lineage: Eukaryota; Metazoa; Chordata; Mammalia; Artiodactyla; Bovidae. RNAcentral also lists the same sequence under 4 other names.